GAUUAACGCUGGCGGCGUGCAUAACACAUGCAAGUCGAACGAAGUGGCGGACGGGUGAGUAACGCGUGAGUAACAUGCCUUAGAGAAGGGGAAAGCCUUUGGAAACGAAGAAUAAUAACCUAUGCUCUAAGAUGGACUUGCGUCUGAUUAGUUAGUUGGUGAGGUAACGGCGCACCAAGACAGCGAUCAGUAGCCGGCUUGAGUGCGUGUACGGCCACAUUGGGAGUGAGACACGGCCCAGACUCUACGGGAGGCAGCAGUGGGGAAGUUUGCACAAUGGGGGAAACCCUGAUGCAGCGACGCCGCGUGAUUUAGAAGGCCUUCGGGUUGUAAAAAUCUUUUCUAUGGGAAGCAGUACCAUAGGAAUAAGGACCGGCUAAUUACGUGCCAGCAGCCGCGGUAAUUC
This 406-nucleotide ribosomal RNA is filed under the name uncultured bacterium. RNAcentral's name for it is "partial 16S ribosomal RNA". It matches the Rfam family "Bacterial small subunit ribosomal RNA", at positions 28 to 526 of the family's 1533-position model. The record is from RNAcentral.